RNAcentral lists this ribosomal RNA (1408 nucleotides) under uncultured marine bacterium. RNAcentral's name for it is "bacterial SSU rRNA". It matches the Rfam family "Bacterial small subunit ribosomal RNA". The record is from RNAcentral.
GAUGAACGCUGGCGGCGUGCUUAACACAUGCAAGUCGAACGAACCUUCGGGUUAGUGGCGGACGGGUGAGUAACGCGUGAGAAUCUGCCCUCAGGAGGGGGACAACAGCUGGAAACGGCUGCUAAUACCCCAUAUGCCGCGAGGUGAAAUGAAUUUCGCCUGAGGAUGAGCUCGCGUCUGAUUAGCUAGUUGGUGUAGGUAAUGGCUCACCAAGGCAUCGAUCAGUAGCUGGUCUGAGAGGAUGAUCAGCCACACUGGGACUGAGACACGGCCCAGACUCCUACGGGAGGCAGCAGUGGGGAAUUUUCCGCAAUGGGCGAAAGCCUGACGGAGCAACGCCGCGUGAGGGAUGAAGGCCUCUGGGCUGUAAACCUCUUUUAUCAAGGAAGAAGAUCUGACGGUACUUGAUGAAUAAGCCACGGCUAAUUCCGUGCCAGCAGCCGCGGUAAUACGGGAGUGGCAAGCGUUAUCCGGAAUUAUUGGGCGUAAAGCGUCCGCAGGCGGCCCUUCAAGUCUGCUGUUAAAAAGUGGAGCUUAACUCCAUCAUGGCAGUGGAAACUGUUGGGCUUGAGUGUGGUAGGGGCAGAGGGAAUUCCCGGUGUAGCGGUGAAAUGCGUAGAUAUCGGGAAGAACACCAGUGGCGAAGGCGCUCUGCUGGGCCAUCACUGACGCUCAUGGACGAAAGCCAGGGGAGCGAAAGGGAUUAGAUACCCCUGUAGUCCUGGCCGUAAACGAUGAACACUAGGUGUCGGGGGAAUCGACCCCUCCGGUGUCGUAGCCAACGCGUUAAGUGUUCCGCCUGGGGAGUACGCACGCAAGUGUGAAACUCAAAGGAAUUGACGGGGGCCCGCACAAGCGGUGGAGUAUGUGGUUUAAUUCGAUGCAACGCGAAGAACCUUACCAGGAUUUGACAUCCUGCGAAUCUCUUGGAAACUUGAGAGUGCCUUCGGGAGCGCAGUGACAGGUGGUGCAUGGCUGUCGUCAGCUCGUGUCGUGAGAUGUUGGGUUAAGUCCCGCAACGAGCGCAACCCACGUCUUUAGUUGCCAGCAUUUAGUUGGGCACUCUAGAGAGACCGCCGGUGAUAAACCGGAGGAAGGUGUGGAUGACGUCAAGUCAUCAUGCCCCUUACAUCCUGGGCUACACACGUACUACAAUGCUACGGACAAAGGGCAGCAAGCUCGCGAGAGUUAGCAAAUCCCAUAAACCGUGGCUCAGUUCAGAACGUAGGCUGCAACUCGCCUACGUGAAGGAGGAAUCGCUAGUAAUCGCAGGUCAGCAUACUGCGGUGAAUACGUUCCCGGGCCUUGUACACACCGCCCGUCACACCAUGGAAGUUGGCCAUGCCCGAAGUCGUUACUCCAACCCUUGUGGAGGAGGACGCCGAAGGUGGGGCUGAUGACUGGGGUG